Molecule: transfer RNA, 68 nt
Filed under: Parapercis cylindrica (cylindrical sandperch)
Lineage: Eukaryota; Metazoa; Chordata; Actinopteri; Uranoscopiformes; Pinguipedidae
Description: tRNA-Ser
Source: RNAcentral
GGGAGAGGCCCGCAAGCAUCGAGGUCUGCUAACCCUCGCCACUCUGGUUGAAGCCCAGAGCUCACUCA